Molecule: ribosomal RNA, 465 nt
Filed under: Vreelandella stevensii
Lineage: Bacteria; Pseudomonadati; Pseudomonadota; Gammaproteobacteria; Oceanospirillales; Halomonadaceae
Description: partial 16S ribosomal RNA
Rfam family: Bacterial small subunit ribosomal RNA
Source: RNAcentral
CCUACGUGUGGCUGCAGUGGGGAAUAUUGGACAAUGGGCGAAAGCCUGAUCCAGCCAUGCCGCGUGUGUGAAGAAGGCCUUCGGGUUGUAAAGCACUUUCAGUGGGGAAGAAAGCCUUGGGGCUAAUACCCUCGAGGAAGGACAUCACCCACAGAAGAAGCACCGGCUAACUCCGUGCCAGCAGCCGCGGUAAUACGGAGGGUGCGAGCGUUAAUCGGAAUUACUGGGCGUAAAGCGCGCGUAGGCGGUCUGAUAAGCCGGUUGUGAAAGCCCCGGGCGCAACCUGGGAACGGCAUCCGGAACUGUCAGGCUAGAGUGCAGGAGAGGAAGGUAGAAUUCCCGGUGUAGCGGUGAAAUGCGUAGAGAUCGGGAGGAAUACCAGUGGCGAAGGCGGCCUUCUGGACUGACACUGACGCUGAGGUGCGAAAGCGUGGGUAGCAAACAGGAUUAGAUACCCCGGUAGUC